This is an RNA transcript of Myxocyprinus asiaticus (Chinese sucker), 3192 nucleotides long. It is a transcript of the gene named prominin-1-A-like, with no coding region annotated. The record is from RefSeq and is a predicted model, not a curated record. The transcript has 26 exons. NCBI's taxonomy places the organism in Eukaryota, Metazoa, Chordata, Actinopteri, Cypriniformes, Catostomidae.
AGACAGAACCGGUCGCAUUUGCCGUGGCGGAGCACUCAGCGGGUGGCGCAGGUCACAGAAACUGUGGCGGACAAUAUCCGACUCAUCCUGAGCUAUCCAGGUCGGAGGGAUGUUUACCAUGAUACCAACAGAAGGAAACGGGGAGUAAACGCGUCAGCUGGAAUCCCCUUUUCGGUUGUUUUUUUUUGUCUUUAUGCCCGUUCUAUUUUUCUAUCAUUUUUAUUUUUGAUGUUGCGGACAAAAGAACAUCCCAAAGCAAUAUACUUUCCUCUUACUUAAACUGAGCUUCCCCUUCACUUUCCCUCCCGUUAUUCAUCCAAAUCUCCCCGCGUAACGAACUGAUGGACAUGUCGUGGAAAGUGGGGCUUGUGCUGGUGAUGUGCUGGAGUCUCACGAGUAGCGAAACGCACGAGGAGCGACGGGAUUCCUCUCAACGCACCGCGAUGCUCAGAGCGCCCGUGGAAACGUUGGACUUUGGCUUCGUGCCGUCGGUGGUGUACGAAACGCACGCGUAUUAUGAACCAGGUGCCAUUGGUAUUCUUUUCCACAUGGUCCACGCGUUUUUGUACGUUGUUCAACCCAACCCUUUCCCUAAAGAUCUUAUUGUUAAGGUUAUCCAGCAGAACAUGGGAGGAAUCAAAGUGGAGGACUACAAGAAGCCAGAGAAUGUUGUAUUGUUGCUACAGGCUAUUUACUAUGAGCUUGGCUUCUUAGUCUUGACAGUUCUGGGGGUGUUGUUUGUGUUGCUGAUGCCGAUGGUGGGUCUGUGUUUCUGUGUGUGCCGCUGCUUUGAGAACUGUGGUGGGGAGAUGCAUCAGAGACAGAAGAAGAAUGCUGACUGCCAACGAGGCUUCUACAUGACCACACUCAUCGCUACCUCUAUAUUCCUCGGAGCGGGAGUGGUGAUCGCCUACGCAGCAAACCAGAACAUUACAUCUCAAAUCAAGAGCACGAGACGUCUCGUCAGCACCAACAUAAGAGACCUGAAAUCAUUUGCCAACUACACACCAGCACAAAUCGACUACCUUGCUGCACAGUACACAACAGCCAAGAACAAAGUUCUAUCAGACUUAGACAAUAUCGGGCCUCUUCUGGGAGGAAGGGUUCAUAACCAGUUGGAGAGGGAGGUGAUACCAGCUUUAGACAAUGCUCUUCGCAUGACUGGAGCUAUGCGAGAGACUAAAGAGGCACUGGAGAGUGUGACCACAUCACUGGAGACCCUGCAGGACGGGACAGGCAAACUCCAGCACUCUCUCCAGUCUGAACGUGCCUCUCUAUCAAACACGCUCAACGACCCAGCCUGCUCUAAUGGAGAUGUAACGCACACCUGCAACACCAUCCGUGGAACACUCAGCCAGCUCGCUCUCAGCGCAAACUUUAAUGGGUUGCCCGAUGUUGGGGCCCAGCUGGCCAACUUGGAUGCUGUUCUUAAAACAGACCUCAGCAGUAUUGUACAGAAGGGCUACUCUUCAUUCAAUGACACACCAAGGUUGGUCAGCAAACAGACAAAAGAAAUUGUGUCUGGAGUUAAGGGGUUGCUGGAUAAGUCAGGUGGAGAGAUAACUGGUUUCACAAAGAUGUUCCCUGUGGAACCAGCACUUGAGAACUUCACAAAGUUCCUGACAGAAAGCCAGAAGAACAUUGAAGCGUUCUACCCCCAGAUUGACCAGAUGGACUUCUACAGAUGGAUAGGGUGUGUGGUGAUAUGCUGUACAGUCGUGCUGAUUUUGGCCUUUAAUUUCCUGGGGCUAUUGUGUGGAUCAUGCGGCUAUGAUAAAAAUGCCACACCCACCACUCGUGGCUGUCUUUCUAACACUGGAGGAAACCUGCUGAUGGCAUCUGCUGGCUUCAGCUUCAUCUUCUCCUGGGUGCUCAUGGGUGUUGUAGUCACCACAUUUGUUGUCGGAGGAAAUGUUGAGAAGCUUUUGUGUGAGCCACUGGCUAACAGACAGCUGUUUAAGAUCAUUGACACACCAUAUAUGGUCCAUCCUACCAAAAAGAACUUCCUUGCUGGCAUGCUAUUUCAAGAUCCAAACAUCGACCUUACCAUCGGCAGUAUGUACCGAGACUGUUAUGAGAAUAAUGGCUUAUAUUCAGCGCUACAACUAGAGACCAAGUUCAACUUCAACAGGUUUCUCAAUGUCACAGUGUAUAACCAUGAAUUGGCCAAGAUAUUUAAUAGUGUGAGUGUGGAUCUCCAUGGAAUAAUUCUUCUGGAACAGGAAGGCAAAGAUAACCUCAUCAACUUCGCCAACACAGGCAUUGGGGAAAUUGACUAUCAGGCUUAUUUAUCAGAGGUGAAUAAAGGAGUGACAGUUGUGGAUCUUCUGUCCUUUGCUAAUGAACUUGAGGCUCAAGCAGACCAGCUGCCACGUGGUGCUCUUGAGAAUGCGCUUAAGGGUCAUGCCAGCAGUAUCAGGCAAAUCCACAAAGAACAAGUGGUGCCAAUGGAGCAGGCUAUGAGCACUCUGAGUCAGAGCAUCAGACUGCUUCAGAAAUCAUCCAAAGAACUUCCUAUUAAAGUGACAAACGUCCUGAGUGCCAUUGAGGCGGCAGAGUAUCUCAUCACCAACAAUGCUUCACAUGUGGUCAAACAGGAGGCUAAUAAAUUCAUUAAGAGCAUUGUGGGAUAUUUUACACAAUACACAGAGUGGGUCAAGCACUCGCUAGAUAUGGAGGUUGCCCAGUGCAAACCCAUCAGCAACAUUGUGGACUCGCUGGAGAUUGUAGCCUGCAGCUUCAUAGUUGACUCAGUGAACACAUUCUGGUUUGGUCUGGGAGGAUGCUGUCUGUUCCUCAUCCCCGGCAUCAUCCUCUCGGUAAAACUCGCCAAAUUCUACCGUAGGAUGGACACUGAGGACGUCUACGAUGACUAUCCAUCUUAUGACACAAUGAGGUGGUACCCUCGGGCCUCUGCCCCCCCAAGACAACCUGACUGGUGAAACAAAUUCACACACACUUUCACACAGGGUAUGCAACCCUAGAUGCAUCCUAGAGUGGUGCAGAGAACUGGAGCUAAAGGGACAAGCCAGGAGAACAUCUGUGAUAUUUCGGAUUCCGAAAAGUGAACAAAAAAUUAAGAAAGUUAAAAAGGGAAUAUAAUCAUUGAAAAUGACAUUUGAAACAGUUUAUUCCAGUUUCUUACAAUAGAACAUACUCAGACCUUAAAGGGAUAGUUCACCUAAAAAUGAA